Molecule: long non-coding RNA, 992 nt
Filed under: Athene cunicularia (burrowing owl)
Lineage: Eukaryota; Metazoa; Chordata; Aves; Strigiformes; Strigidae
Description: lncRNA (ENSACUG00000001529.1)
Source: RNAcentral
UUUGAUUGUAGAAAUUAAGAAUUUACAUUCUUAAAAUGUGGAAUGUUUUCAGUAACAAAUUCAAUCUCACUAAAAAUUGCAGCACCCAGGUGGUGAAGAGGUCCUCAGGGAGCAAGCUGGGGGAGAUGCUACUGAGAACUUUGAAGAUGUUGGCCAUUCCACAGAUGCAAGGACACUGUCAGAAACCUUUAUUAUUGGGGAACUUCAUCCGGAUGAUAGAGGGAAGCUUCAGAAACCAACAGAAACUCUUAUAACCACUGCUCAGUCUAAUUCCAGUUCGUGGUCCAACUGGGUGAUCCCAGCGAUAGCAGCAAUUAUUGUGGCCCUGAUGUAUCGUUCCUACAUGUCAGAGUAAGCGCCUUACUGAGAACUAAUGCAAGAAGAGCCUGAUCUGGGAGAAAAUACAAGCAAUCCUAACUCAAUAUCAUCCUGGACAAAAGCCUGAUGUCUGAAGAAAAAUUCAACUUUUUCAGAAAACUGAACAAUUCUUUUCUGCUGUGCACUUUUCUUAAUGUUGCCUUCUCGUUUGCUGUUCUGAAAUGAUAUAAAGGCAGCAUUUCUUUGUAUAACAAUUUUAUUCUCGAAUUAUUUGAUAACUGUAUUGGUUUCUGUGUUUAGAAUAUUGUUUUGUAUGUAACAUUCUGAUUCUGGUUAUUUCUCCUUAAUCAUGGGGUCUGUAGGACUCUCUUGACAUACAAAUUUUACAGCUUUAAAUGACUACCAAAACUGUGUACAUGUAUUUGUCCAUGUACACAACUUAACUUAAAAGUCAUGUUUUCUUAAAUGUAGUAUGCUUGAAUGAAAUGCUAAUUAAAUGUAAUGGAAAAAGCUGAGUCGAGUAGUGGGCAUAGGUGUCUGUAAGUGGUUGGGCUAUACCAAUCAGGUUAUAAUGAGGUGAUUAUAUUUUUUUUUUCUUUCCUCUUGACAUCUGCUCUUAUAGUUGUAGAUAUUCCUACUAGCAAACUGUUCUGUUUGGCUCCCAUUGAAAAAUU